UGUGUCAGCAAUGAUAGAUUGGG
This 23-nucleotide non-coding RNA is filed under the name Arabidopsis thaliana (thale cress). The record is from RNAcentral. Lineage: Eukaryota; Viridiplantae; Streptophyta; Magnoliopsida; Brassicales; Brassicaceae.